CCUGAUCUGUGGAGAAGGAACUCGGCAAAAUGUCCCCGUAACUUCGGGAGAAGGGGAGCCUCUGGUACUUGAUUGGGACUUGCUCCCAUGAGGGAAAGGAGGCCGCAGAGAAUCGGCUCAAGCGACUGUUUAGCAAAAACACAGGUGUCUGCAAAGUCGUUAGACGACGUAUAGGCACUGACGCCUGCCCGGUGCCGGAAGGUUAAGAGGAGGGGUUAGGGCUUAGGCUCGAAGCUCUGAAUUGAAGCCCCGGUAAACGGCGGCCGUAACAAUAACGGUCCUAAGGUAGCGAAAUUCCUUGUCGGGUAAGUUCCGACCUGCACGAAUGGCGUAACGACUUGAGCGCUGUCUCCUCCACAAGCUCGGCGAAAUUGGAGUCUCGGUGAGGAUACCGAGUACCCGCGACAGGACAAAAAGACCCCGUGCACCUUUACUGUACCCUGACAUUGUUCUUCGGCAUGAUCUGUGUAGCAUAGGUGGGAGGCUUUGAAGCGGGGGCGCCAGCUCUCGUGGAGCCAUCGGUGAAAUACCACCCUGGUGAUGUUGGAGAUCUAACCUGCGCCCGUGAAUCCGGGCGAGGGACCGUGUCAGGCGGGCAGUUUGACUGGGGCGGUCGCCUCCUAAAAGGUAGCGGAGGCGCGCAAAGGUUCCCUCAGCGCGGUCGGUAAUCGCGCUUUUGAGCGUAAACGCAUAAGGGAGCUUGACUGCGAGACCUACAAGUCGAGCAGGUUCGAAAGAAGGCGUUAGUGAUCCGGCGGUCCCGUGUGGAAGGGCCGUCGCUCAACGGAUAAAAGGUACGCCGGGGAUAACAGGCUUAUCGCUCCCGAGAGUUCAUAUCGACGGAGCGGUUUGGCACCUCGAUGUCGGCUCAUCGCAUCCUGGGGCUGGAGAAGGUCCCAAGGGUCCGGCUGUUCGCCGGUUAAAGCGGUACGCGAGCUGGGUUCAGAACGUCGUGAGACAGUUCGGUCUGUAUCCGUCGUGGGCGUUGGAGGAUUGAGGGAAGCCGUCCCUAGUACGAGAGGACCGGGACGGACUGGCCUCUGGUGUACCGGUUCUGUUGCCAAAUGCAGCGCCGGGUAGCCAUGCCGGGACGAGAGAACCGCUGAACGCAUCUAAGUGGGAAGCUCUGCCCAAGAUGAAUCCUCCCGGGUCGCAAGACCCCUGAAGGGCCGUGGGAGACCACCACGUUGAUAGGCGGCAGGUGGAAGCAUGGCAGCAUGCGUAGCCGAGCCGUACUAAGGGCCCGUGUGGCUUGACCGG
This 1260-nucleotide ribosomal RNA is filed under the name metagenome. RNAcentral's name for it is "bacterial LSU rRNA". It matches the Rfam family "Bacterial large subunit ribosomal RNA", at positions 1693 to 2925 of the family's 2925-position model. The record is from RNAcentral.